CCUUCGGGGGGCAGCAGUGAGGAAUAUUGGUCAAUGGACGAGAGUCUGAACCAGCCAAGUCGCGUGAAGGAUGACUGCCCUAUGGGUUGUAAACUUCUUUUAUAUGGGAAUAAAAUGCUCCACGUGUGGGAUUUUGUAUGUACCAUAUGAAUAAGGAUCGGCUAACUCCGUGCCAGCAGCCGCGGUAAUACGGAGGAUCCGAGCGUUAUCCGGAUUUAUUGGGUUUAAAGGGAGCGUAGGUGGAAUGUUAAGUCAGUUGUGAAAGUUGGAGGCUCAACCGUAAAAUUGCAGUUGAAACUGGCAGUCUUGAGUACGGUAGAGGUGUGCGGAAUGCGUGGUGUAGCGGUGAAAUGCUUAGAUAUCACGAAGAACUCCGAUUGCGAAGGCAGUUCACUGGACUGCAACUGACACUGAGGCUCGAAAGUGUGGGUAUCGAACAGGAUUAGAUACCCCGGUAGUC
RNAcentral lists this ribosomal RNA (460 nucleotides) under uncultured bacterium. RNAcentral's name for it is "partial 16S ribosomal RNA". It matches the Rfam family "Bacterial small subunit ribosomal RNA", at positions 338 to 795 of the family's 1533-position model. The record is from RNAcentral.